This 203-nucleotide non-coding RNA is filed under the name Oscillospiraceae bacterium. RNAcentral describes it as "6S RNA". It matches the Rfam family "6S / SsrS RNA". Rfam says of the family: E. coli 6S RNA was the first non coding RNA to be sequenced, but its function was unknown until recently. It consists of 184 nucleotides that fold into an extended hairpin structure with a large single-stranded internal bulge. The record is from RNAcentral. Lineage: Bacteria; Bacillati; Bacillota; Clostridia; Eubacteriales; Oscillospiraceae.
CAUUGCCUGCGGUGUUCGUGGAAUCAGGAUCCGUAUGGACCUACAUUUUUCAUAAGGGAUGCCGGACUCUUGUGGUGUAUUGCAGGCCUCCCGCCCCGGCUUUGACCGUUGGGUGGACGUUGGAAGCAGAGCAGCCGCAAGGAGGCGACCCACCUGCACAUGCUGCAGGUUAUUAUGGAUCCCCACGGCACCGCGGGUUUUUU